UACGUAGGGUGCGAGCGUUGUCCGGAAUUAUUGGGCGUAAAGAGCUUGUAGGCGGUUUGUCGCGUCUGCUGUGAAAAUCCGGGGCUCAACCCCGGACUUGCAGUGGGUACGGGCAGACUAGAGUGUGGUAGGGGAGACUGGAAUUCCUGGUGUAGCGGUGGAAUGCGCAGAUAUCAGGAGGAACACCGAUGGCGAAGGCAGGUCUCUGGGCCAUUACUGACGCUGAGAAGCGAAAGCAUGGGGAGCAAACAGG
RNAcentral lists this ribosomal RNA (253 nucleotides) under uncultured bacterium. RNAcentral describes it as "partial 16S ribosomal RNA". It matches the Rfam family "Bacterial small subunit ribosomal RNA", at positions 524 to 776 of the family's 1533-position model. The record is from RNAcentral.